RNAcentral lists this ribosomal RNA (496 nucleotides) under uncultured bacterium. RNAcentral's name for it is "partial 16S ribosomal RNA". It matches the Rfam family "Bacterial small subunit ribosomal RNA", at positions 28 to 506 of the family's 1533-position model. The record is from RNAcentral.
GAUGAACGCUGGCGGCGUGCCUAAUACAUGCAAGUCGAGCGAACGGACGAGAAGCUUGCUUCUCUGAUGUUAGCGGCGGACGGGUAAGUAACACGUGGAUAACCUACCUAUAAGACUGGGAUAACUUCGGGAAACCGGAGCUAAUACCGGAUAAUAUUUUGAACCGCAUGGUUCAAAAGUGAAAGACGGUCUUGCUGUCACUUAUAGAUGGAUCCGCGCUGCAUUAGCUAGUUGGUAAGGUAACGGCUUACCAAGGCAACGAUGCAUAGCCGACCUGAGAGGGUGAUCGGCCACACUGGAACUGAGACACGGUCCAGACUCCUACGGGAGGCAGCAGUAGGGAAUCUUCCGCAAUGGGCGAAAGCCUGACGGAGCAACGCCGCGUGAGUGAUGAAGGUCUUCGGAUCGUAAAACUCUGUUAUUAGGGAAGAACAUAUGUGUAAGUAACUGUGCACAUCUUGACGGUACCUAAGCAGAAAGCCACGGCUAACUACGU